Long non-coding RNA from Camelus dromedarius (Arabian camel), 729 nucleotides. RefSeq lists it as uncharacterized. The record is from RefSeq and is a predicted model, not a curated record. NCBI's taxonomy places the organism in Eukaryota, Metazoa, Chordata, Mammalia, Artiodactyla, Camelidae. The transcript has 2 exons.
UGACAGCUGCUGGGACGGUACUUACUGAGCACCUACAACCUGUGACGUUUGUGCUUCUGUGAAACUUCCAGUAACUCAGUGGAGUAUAAAGGAUGGUUACACCCCAUCAAUAAUUUUAAUUACCUGAAGAAACAAGCCAUGUGCACAUAAAGCAGUUUUAAUAAUGAAAAUUCACAUCGUACAGAAGUUGAUAGUUUGCAAAGGACAUCAGUCUCAUAGGAGCCUCGUAAAACUUCGGGAAGCUGUUAAAAUAAACAGAUACUAUCUUUGCAAGUUUUACACGACAGAUGAAAGGAUGGUCCUGAUUGCACUUCAAUGAAACACUUUGUAGCUUGGAACAUGACAGAUUGGUGAUGCUUGUCUGGCUCAAUAAACAAAGUAAAGAGACCACUUCUGAGAACUGCAUUUAGACCUGUAAUUACUGAAAACACAGAUAUGACAACUUUGCCAAUAUUUGAUUUCCAAAUUUGAGCAGAUAAUAUUAGCGUGUUUUAAUAGCUAUAAUGAGUGUAUUCUGGUAUGCUGAUAAAAAUAGAGGGAACAGGGCUUGAAAUCAAGACAGGAUUGAGAUAUGCAUUAAAAAUAACUGAGACAAUUAAAUGAGAAAGGUACACAGAAUCCUGGUGCAGUGACUAUCUCAUUAUUGUUAUGACAUUAAUUUGAUUAUGACACCCCAAGCAGACGAUCUUAAUCUUCCUAAUGCAAAUAAAGAGGAAAAAUUCCAAUUCA